AUUGAACGCUGGCGGCAUGCCUUACACAUGCAAGUCGAACGGUAACGGGCCUUCGGGUGCCGACGAGUGGCGAACGGGUGAGUAAUGCAUCGGAACGUACCUUUCAGUGGGGGAUAACGUAGCGAAAGUUACGCUAAUACCGCAUAUUCUGUGAGCAGGAAAGCAGGGGAUCGCAAGACCUUUGCGCUGAUUGAGCGGCCGAUGUCAGAUUAGCUAGUUGGUGAGGUAAAGGCUCACCAAGGCGACGAUCUGUAGCGGGUCUGAGAGGAUGAUCCGCCACACUGGAACUGAGACACGGUCCAGACUCCUACGGGAGGCAGCAGUGGGGAAUUUUGGACAAUGGGGGCAACCCUGAUCCAGCCAUGCCGCGUGAGUG
Molecule: ribosomal RNA, 376 nt
Filed under: uncultured bacterium
Lineage: Bacteria
Description: bacterial SSU rRNA
Rfam family: Bacterial small subunit ribosomal RNA
Source: RNAcentral